This 468-nucleotide ribosomal RNA is filed under the name Triticum aestivum (bread wheat). RNAcentral describes it as "partial small subunit ribosomal RNA". The record is from RNAcentral. Lineage: Eukaryota; Viridiplantae; Streptophyta; Magnoliopsida; Poales; Poaceae.
AUGGGCGCCGUCGCUAGCCUCCUGCUAGCCGGCCUACUCUCCGCGCUCGCGUACGUGCUCCGCGCCCUCGUGUGGGUCCCGCACCGCCUGGAGCGCCGCCUGCGCCGGCAGGGCAUCCGGGGGCCUCCGCGCAGCCUGAUCACCGGAAACGUGGCCGACUACGGCGCCCUCCUCGCCGCGGCCCAGUCCAAGCCGCUCGCCUCCUUCCACCACGCCAUCGUCGGCCGCGCCACGCCGCACUACCGCGAGUGGGCGGCGCGGUACGGCCGGCCGUUCGUGUUCUGGUCAGGGCCCCGGCCGCGGCUGGUGUUCUCCAGCCCGGAAGUCGCCAAGGCCGCGCUGAACGACUCCACGGGGACCUUCGAUGAGGCCGGCAACGGCGGCAGCAGAAACCCGCUCGCUCGGCAGCUCAUCGGCGAGGGGCUGGUGGGGCUCACCGGAAGAAGUGGGCGCACCACCGCCGUGUGA